Molecule: unclassified non-coding RNA, 164 nt
Filed under: uncultured Sordariomycetes
Lineage: Eukaryota; Fungi; Ascomycota; Sordariomycetes
Description: sequence contains ITS2
Source: RNAcentral
CGACCCCUCGAGCGCCCUCGCGCGCGCUCGGUGUUGGGGCCCUACGUGCGUCGUAGGCCCUGAAUUCCAGUGGCGGGCUCGCCGUGUUCCCGAGCGUAGUAAUGCUACCUCGCUCAGGGGCGCGCGGCGGGCGCCGGCCGUGAAACGACGAAACACAACCCCAA